CCAGCCAGAUAAACCAUAUAAUAUACACACACUGAUAAGGCAACCAAAUCCUCAUAUCUCUACACUGUCAAAAUCCACCAAUUGUAGUCUGUAACUAGUUAUAAUCUAGAAUCUUGAAAUCCAAUCGCCGAUCCUCCAGCAAAAGCAAACGAAAAUUAAAGAAAAUCUAAGAAUAAAACCCUAAAUAUCCACCAAGGACAAGCAAAUAAACUGGAUUUGAUCAUCAUCGCAACAGAUUCCGCGGCAAUCAUAGCUUCUUGGUGAUCCAUAAAAGGAUGAUGAUGAUAAAGAAACCCUAAAAUGAUUGGGAUGAAC
RNAcentral lists this unclassified non-coding RNA (315 nucleotides) under Hevea brasiliensis (rubber tree). The record is from RNAcentral. Lineage: Eukaryota; Viridiplantae; Streptophyta; Magnoliopsida; Malpighiales; Euphorbiaceae.